RNAcentral lists this ribosomal RNA (253 nucleotides) under uncultured bacterium. RNAcentral's name for it is "partial 16S ribosomal RNA". It matches the Rfam family "Bacterial small subunit ribosomal RNA", at positions 1250 to 1500 of the family's 1533-position model. The record is from RNAcentral.
CAACAUCGCGAGGUAGAAGACAACUACCCAAAAAAGUGUCUCAGUUCAGAUUGUAGGCUGCAACUCGCCUACAUGAAGUCGGAAUUGCUAGUAAUCGUAGGUCAGCAUACUACGGUGAAUACGUUCCCGGGGCCUUGUACACACCGCCCGUCAAACCAUGAGAGUUGGCAACACCCGAAGUCGGUAGUCUAACCGCAAGGAGGACGCCGCCGAGGUGGGGUUGAUGAUUAGGGUUAAGUCGUAACAAGGUAAC